CCUACGGGUGGCAGCAGUGGGGAAUAUUGGUCAAUGGAGGAAACUCUGAACCAGCAACGCCGCGUGAAUGAUGAAGGUCUUCGGAUUGUAAAGUUCUUUUCUAAGGGAAGAAAAAGGUGACAGUACCUUAUGAAUAAGCCUCUGCUAACUACGUGCCAGCAGCCGCGGUAAUACGGAGGAGGCGAGCGUUAUCCGGAUUGACUGGGCGUAAGGGGUGCGUAGGUGGUUUGACAAGUUGGUAGCGUAACUCCGAGGCUCAACCUCGGCACUACUACCAAAACUGUCGGACUUGAGUGCAGGAGCGGCAAUUGGAAUUCCUGGUGUAGCGGUGGAAUGCGCAGAUAUUAGGAGGAACACCGGUGGCGAAGGCGAAUUGCUGGACUGCAACUGACACUGAGGCACGAAAGCGUGGGGAGCAAACAGGAUUAGAUACCCGUGUAGUC
RNAcentral lists this ribosomal RNA (443 nucleotides) under uncultured bacterium. RNAcentral describes it as "partial 16S ribosomal RNA". It matches the Rfam family "Bacterial small subunit ribosomal RNA", at positions 338 to 795 of the family's 1533-position model. The record is from RNAcentral.